ACAUUGGUGGUAUAGUGGUGAGCAUAGCUGCCUUCCAAGCAGUUGACCCGGGUUUGUUUCCCGGCCAACGCA
This is a transfer RNA of Lepisosteus oculatus (spotted gar), 72 nucleotides long. It matches the Rfam family "tRNA". From Rfam's summary of the family: Transfer RNA (tRNA) molecules are approximately 80 nucleotides in length. Their secondary structure includes four short double-helical elements and three loops (D, anti-codon, and T loops). Further hydrogen bonds mediate the characteristic L-shaped molecular structure. tRNAs have two regions of fundamental functional importance: the anti-codon, which is responsible for specific mRNA codon recognition, and the 3' end, to which the tRNAs corresponding amino acid is attached (by aminoacyl-tRNA synthetases). tRNAs cope with the degeneracy of the genetic code in two manners: having more than one tRNA (with a specific anti-codon) for a particular amino acid; and 'wobble' base-pairing, i.e. permitting non-standard base-pairing at the 3rd anti-codon position. NCBI's taxonomy places the organism in Eukaryota, Metazoa, Chordata, Actinopteri, Semionotiformes, Lepisosteidae. The record is from Rfam.